UACAGAGGGGGCAAGCGUUGUUCGGAAUUACUGGGCGUAAAGGGCGCGUAGGCGGCCCUCUAAGUCAGACGUGAAAUCCCUCGGCUCAACCGGGGAACUGCGUCUGAGACUGGAAGGCUUGAAUUCGGGAGAGGGAUGUGGAAUUCCAGGUGUAGCGGUGAAAUGCGUAGAUAUCUGGAGGAACACCGGUGGCGAAGGCGGCAUCCUGGACCGAUAUUGACGCUGAGGCGCGAAAGCCAGGGGAGCAAACGGG
This 253-nucleotide ribosomal RNA is filed under the name uncultured bacterium. Its description in RNAcentral is "partial 16S ribosomal RNA". It matches the Rfam family "Bacterial small subunit ribosomal RNA", at positions 524 to 776 of the family's 1533-position model. The record is from RNAcentral.